Molecule: long non-coding RNA, 1040 nt
Filed under: Dromaius novaehollandiae (emu)
Lineage: Eukaryota; Metazoa; Chordata; Aves; Casuariiformes; Dromaiidae
Description: lncRNA (ENSDNVG00000016322.1)
Source: RNAcentral
CCCACAUGUCCCCCAGGGGCCCAGGCACCCCCAGGGGCCCAGGAGUCCCCAUACGUCCCCCAGGGGCCCAGGAGUCCCCCAGGGACCCAGGUGUCCCCAGGCACCCCCAGGGGCCCAGGCAUCCCCCAGGGGCCCAGGCGUCCCCAGGCAUCCCCCAGGGGCCCAGGAGUCCCCACACGUCCCCCAGGGGCCCAGGAGUCCCCCAGGGACCCAGGUGUCCCCCAGGGGCCCAGGAGUCCCCAUACGUCCCCCAGGGGCCCAGGAGUCCCCAAGCAACCCCCCCAGGGGCCCAGGCUUCCCCAGGCACCACCCAGGGGCCCAGGCAUCCCCCAGGGACCCAGGCGUCCCCAAGGAUCCCCCAGGGGCCCAGGAGUCCUCAAGGACCCCCCCCCUCAGGGGCCCAGGCAUCCCCCAGGCACCCCCCAAGGACCCAGGUGUCCCCCCAGGGACCCAGGCAUCCCCAUGGGGACCCCAAGCCGCCAUCAUGGAUCCCGGUGUCCCCCAGGGACCCCCCAUGGACCCAGGGACCCCCCCCAGGGCCCCAGGCGCCCCCUCCCCGCCCCCCCCACCUGGGGGCCCAGGCGUCCGGGCACCUUGAUGGUCUUGGUCUGCAGCUUGAGGCCGUUGAGGGUGCUGAUGGCCUUGUCGGCGUCGCCGGGGUCCACGUAGUUCACGAAGCCGUAGCCCAGGCUCUGCCCUGGGGGGGGGGCGGGGGGUCAGGGUGCUGCCUGGACCCCCCCCGGGGACCCCCAAGCACCCAUGGGACCCCUGGGACGCCCAGGGACCCCCAGCACCCACGGGGACCUCGUCCUGGCCCUCACCGGGCCCCGUCCCCAACCCCGUGGGUCCCGUCUCCUCCCUGCAGGUCCCCGGGGGUCCCGUCUCAUCCCUGUGGGUCCCAUCGAUGUCCCCAUGGGUCCCAUCCCAUCCCUGCAGGUCCCCUUGGGUCCCGUCCCCGUCCCCAUGGGUCCCUCCUGUCCCCGUGGGUCCCGUCCCCAUCUCCGUGGGUCCAUCGCGUCCCUGUGGGUCCUGUCCCCAUG